GUAGGUGAACCUGCGGAAGGAUCAUUACCUAGAGUUUGUAGACUUCGGUCUGCUACCUCUUACCCAUGUCUUUUGAGUACCUUCGUUUCCUCGGCGGGUCCGCCCGCCGAUUGGACAACAUUCAAACCCUUUGCAGUUGCAAUCAGCGUCUGAAAAAACAUAAUAGUUACAACUUUCAACAACGGAUCUCUUGGUUCUG
Molecule: unclassified non-coding RNA, 199 nt
Filed under: rhizosphere metagenome
Also listed under: 1 other name
Description: partial ribosomal RNA internal transcribed spacer region
Source: RNAcentral